GCUCAAAUUUGAAAUCUCACAGGGUUACCUGUGCGAAUUGUAGUUUAUAGAAACGCUUUCGGGGGUGGCUCUGGCAUAAGUCCUUUGGAAUAAGGCAUCAUAGAGGGUGAGAAUCCCGUUUAUGGUCAGGUGUCCGCUCCUAUGUGAUGUGUUUUCUAAGAGUCGGUUUGUUUGGGAAUGCAGACCAAAAUGGGUGGUAAAUACCAUCUAAAGCUAAAUAUUGGCGAGAGACCGAUAGCGAACAAGUACCGUGAGGGAAAGAUGAAAAGAACUUUGAAAAGAGAGUUAAAAGUACGUGAAAUUGUCAAAAGGGAAACGCUUGAAACCAGUAUUGCGUUCAGGUAAUCAGCCGUUCCUUCUGGGACGGUGCACUUGCCUGCUUGCGGGUCAACAUCAGUUUGGUUCGGGAUAAAAAGCCUUGAGAAGGUAGCCCCUCGGGGUGUUAUAGCUCAAGGUCAUGUCUCGGGCUGGACUGAGGUCUGCAGUGUUAUUUGGGUAGCCAGUCGCCUCUCGAAACCCUGUUAUAGACAGCAUGCUGACUAUGACUUGGUCUAGGGAGCACGGUUGGGAUUCCACACCAACACUUAGGAUGUUGACGAAAUGGUUUCAAACGACCCGUCUUGAAACACGGACCAAGGAGUCUAACAUAUAUGCGAGUGUUUGGGUGGCAAACCCUUACGCGGAAUGAAAGUGAACUUAGGUGGGAUCUUCGGUGCACCAUCGACCGGUCUGGAUUUUUUUGAUAGAUCUGAGUAAGAGCAUAUCUGUUGGGACCCGAAAGAUGGUGAACUAUGCCUGAAUAGGGUGAAGCCAGAGGAAACUCUGGUGGAGGCUCGUAGCGAUUCUGACGUGCAAAUCGAUCGUCAAAUUUGGGU
RNAcentral lists this ribosomal RNA (875 nucleotides) under Rhizophlyctis rosea. RNAcentral's name for it is "eukaryotic LSU rRNA". It matches the Rfam family "Eukaryotic large subunit ribosomal RNA", at positions 107 to 916 of the family's 3401-position model. The record is from RNAcentral. Lineage: Eukaryota; Fungi; Chytridiomycota; Chytridiomycetes; Rhizophlyctidales; Rhizophlyctidaceae. RNAcentral also lists the same sequence under 1 other name.